This 253-nucleotide ribosomal RNA is filed under the name uncultured bacterium. RNAcentral's name for it is "partial 16S ribosomal RNA". It matches the Rfam family "Bacterial small subunit ribosomal RNA", at positions 524 to 776 of the family's 1533-position model. The record is from RNAcentral.
UACGUAGGGCGCAAGCGUUGUCCGGAAUUAUUGGGCGUAAAGAGCUCGUAGGUGGCUUGUCGCGUCUGCCGUGAAAGUCCGGGGCUCAACUCCGGAUCUGCGGUGGGUACGGGCAGACUAGAGUGAUGUAGGGGAGACUGGAAUUCCUGGUGUAGCGGUGAAAUGCGCAGAUAUCAGGAGGAACACCGAUGGCGAAGGCAGGUCUCUGGGCAUUAACUGACGCUGAGGAGCGAAAGCAUGGGGAGCGAACAGG